This 634-nucleotide ribosomal RNA is filed under the name Salmonella enterica subsp. enterica serovar Poona. RNAcentral's name for it is "partial 23S ribosomal RNA". It matches the Rfam family "Bacterial large subunit ribosomal RNA", at positions 617 to 1251 of the family's 2925-position model. Lineage: Bacteria; Pseudomonadati; Pseudomonadota; Gammaproteobacteria; Enterobacterales; Enterobacteriaceae. The record is from RNAcentral.
GGGUCAGCGACUUAUAUUCUGUAGCAAGGUUAACCGAAUAGGGGAGCCGGAGGGAAACCGAGUCUUAAUUGGGCGUUAAGUUGCAGGGUAUAGACCCGAAACCCGGUGAUCUAGCCAUGGGCAGGUUGAAGGUUGGGUAACACUAACUGGAGGACCGAACCGACUAAUGUUGAAAAAUUAGCGGAUGACCUGUGGCUGGGGGUGAAAGGCCAAUCAAACCGGGAGAUAGCUGGUUCUCCCCGAAAGCUAUUUAGGUAGCGCCUCGUGAAUUCAUCUCCGGGGGUAGAGCACUGUUUCGGCUAGGGGGCCAUCCCGGCUUACCAACCCGAUGCAAACUGCGAAUACCGGAGAAUGUUAUCACGGGAGACACACGGCGGGUGCUAACGUCCGUCGUGAAGAGGGAAACAACCCAGACCGCCAGCUAAGGUCCCAAAGUCAUGGUUAAGUGGGAAACGAUGUGGGAAGGCCCAGACAGCCAGGAUGUUGGCUUAGAAGCAGCCAUCAUUUAAAGAAAGCGUAAUAGCUCACUGGUCGAGUCGGCCUGCGCGGAAGAUGUAACGGGGCUAAACCAUGCACCGAAGCUGCGGCAGCGACACUCAGGUGUUGUUGGGUAGGGGAGCGUUCUGUAAGCCUG